GACGACAGACUCAUACUGCUAUAAUGUUAAUGUAUGACUGUAUUACUGCAGCAGCCUCCCACUCAAGCUAACGUCAGCUAGCCAUGCUAGUCACUGUUACCAGCAUCAUUUAGCGAUUUACCACACGGUGAAUAUUAACGUAUCGUAUGUGUAUCAGAUGUCAGUGUGAAAGCCUCAGUUAACCCGCUACACAACAGCUUUUUGGCAUUUUCCAUUUUCUCUCCUGUGAUGGCGAGUUUCUUUGCCCCAAAUAGGAGCGCAGCCUCGUCGAUGACGCAAUGCUGGUCUGGUCUAUAGCUUGGAGCCAUAAAGACCCUCUAUUAUAUAUUUUUUUAGGACAUGGCAGGGGAACAAAUCAUAGAUCAGCAUUUUUGGAUUCAAUGUUGGUGCAACAAACUACACAGUAACUCUUCGGCAUAGCGUUAUUACUAUUACCGGUUUGUUUAAAUAAGAAGUCUUGGAGACAUGCAUC
Long non-coding RNA from Sebastes umbrosus (honeycomb rockfish), 472 nucleotides. RefSeq lists it as uncharacterized. NCBI's taxonomy places the organism in Eukaryota, Metazoa, Chordata, Actinopteri, Perciformes, Sebastidae. The transcript has 3 exons. The record is from RefSeq and is a predicted model, not a curated record.